Non-coding RNA from Microcebus murinus (gray mouse lemur), 252 nucleotides. Lineage: Eukaryota; Metazoa; Chordata; Mammalia; Primates; Cheirogaleidae. The record is from RefSeq and is a predicted model, not a curated record.
UAGGGUUGUUAUGAAGAUUUAAACAAGAUAUGCUGAAAACACAUUACGCAAUACUGGAGUGAUAGAAGGAAGUCAAGGCACCAUUAUGACUCAGAUGAAAAAUCAGAAGCAAGAGAAAAUGGUGUUAUGGAUAACCUGGAUGCUCCCAAGCCCAAAAAAGCUAAAAUGAAAGAGAAGCUAAAUGGAGACACUGAGGAAGGAUUUAAUAGACUUUCAGAUGAAUUCUCUAAAUCUCAUAAGUCAAGAAGAAAA